AUUGAACGCUGGCGGCAGGCCUAACACAUGCAAGUCGAGCGGAUGACGGGAGCUUGCUCCUUGAUUCAGCGGCGGACGGGUGAGUAAUGCCUAGGAAUCUGCCUGGUAGUGGGGGACAACGUUUCGAAAGGAACGCUAAUACCGCAUACGUCCUACGGGGGAAAGCAGGGGACCUUCGGGCCUUGCGCUAUCAGAUGAGCCUAGGUCGGAUUAGCUAGUUGGUGGGGUAAUGGCUCACCAAGGCGACGACCCGUAACUGGUCUGAGAGGAUGAUCAGUAACACUGGAACUGAGACACGGUGCAGACUCCUACGGGAGGCAGCAGUGGGGAAUAUUGGACAAUGGGCGAAAGCCUGAUCCAGCCAUGCCGCGUGUGUGAAGAAGGUCUUCGGAUUGUAAAGCACUUUAAGUUGGGAGGAAGGGCAGUAAGUUAAUACCUUGCUGUUUUGACGUUACCGACAGAAUAAGCACCGGCUAACUCUGUGCCAGCAGCCACGGUAA
Molecule: ribosomal RNA, 500 nt
Filed under: uncultured bacterium
Lineage: Bacteria
Description: partial 16S ribosomal RNA
Rfam family: Bacterial small subunit ribosomal RNA
Source: RNAcentral